CUCCUCCUCCUCCUCUCUCUCUCUCUCUCUAUAUAUAUAUAUAUAUAUUUCUGCCUCUGGCCGUGAUUGUUCGCCUUACUGCCGCCGUACGCCGCCCAACCAUGCCCCCAUCCACUGUCAGACUUCGGGGAGGUUACCUAUUCUAACACUUUAACCACCCCCACUACCUAACACGGCCAGACUGUCUGCCCCGCAAACUCCAAAUGAUGCAGGACCAUCUAAAGCUGCACCAGCAGCUAAGGAGGUCAUGUAGCAGGCUGCCACACCAACGGAGACUCCACCACCACCAAUAGUGCCCCCAUCAUCAGCACCAGUACAUCAGCAUCAACGACAUAAGGUCUGAUCAUCGCUUCCACGAGGUUAUCAAUGCGGUUGUGCGGGAGACUUUCCCCACCAGUGGCAAUGUCUAAGGCAAGUGACGCCAGAGCACCAAUAUAUCUGGUUCGAGAGCAUGAAGGUAACGUACAGUAUCAUAAUUUGGUAAUAUCCAAUAAUCUAAAUUGUUUAAUUAAUUUUACUAAUUUUUUGUUUAAUUUUUAUCAUUGUAAAUAACCUAUUGUUGGGACUGUGACGAUGAGUCCAUGUUCUUCGUCUUCCACAUUUGGGCCUAAAAGUACAUCUAGAAGAUGGUCGUGCCUGGUCAAGCCACUUAGCUGGCCAAUGAGGUUUGGCGCCAAGUCCAGGCAUACUAGGCCAACAAGGACUUCCAUCAUGAUUCCUCGAAGAAUAAAGCGAACCGGACAGUGAACCCCACAGCAUCCUCGACUGUGUAUCGCAGGGGAUCUUUCUCUAUUGGCCAGCACAAGAGGAAGAGGCAAAAUUCGGUCAGCAGCCUAAGCAAAUGGAGUUAUUUGAAAUAUACUACAAGAAAAAGGAGGACGAUGGCUGGAAUGGGUUGAGAGUGGUUGAGGUGGCGAGACGUUCCAAAAGCUGAUGGAUGAUCGUCAACAUAAGCCCACGAUAGAGGACCACUAUGCCCCAACCGAAUCGAAGGUUUCCAUAUCGAUGAUGGAGUAGUGGAUAUGGCUGGCUACAGUCGUGGGCAAGAACAAAGGCCAAGUGUUCAGCCUUGAUUCUAAGGCCCACGUUUCCAAUCAGACCUUUACAUCAUAAUUGCCACCCCCCCCGACACCGCCACCA
Molecule: long non-coding RNA, 1140 nt
Organism: Sesamum indicum (sesame)
Lineage: Eukaryota; Viridiplantae; Streptophyta; Magnoliopsida; Lamiales; Pedaliaceae
Source: RefSeq, a predicted model, not a curated record